Molecule: ribosomal RNA, 404 nt
Filed under: uncultured bacterium
Lineage: Bacteria
Description: bacterial SSU rRNA
Rfam family: Bacterial small subunit ribosomal RNA
Source: RNAcentral
UAGGGAAUAUUGGUAAUGUGCGAAAGCGCGAACCAGCAACGCCGCGUGCACGAUGAAGGCCUUCGGGUCGUAAAGUGCUUUUAGAGAGGAUGAGGAAGGACAGUACUUUCUGAAUAAGCCUCGGCUAACUACGUGCCAGCAGCCGCGGUAAAACGUAGGAGGCUAGCGUUAUCCGGAUUUACUGGGCGUAAAGCGCGUGCAGGUGGUUUCGUAAGUUGGAUGUGAAAGCUCCUGGCUUAACCGGGAGAGGUCGUUCAAAACUGCGAGGCUUGAGAUUGGUAGAGGAAAGUGGAAUUCCGGGUGUAGUGGUGAAAUGCGUAGAUAUCCGGAGGAACACCAGUGGCGAAAGCGGCUUUCUGGACCAAUUCUGACACUCAGACGCGAAAGCUAAGGUAGCAAACGGG